RNAcentral lists this ribosomal RNA (252 nucleotides) under uncultured bacterium. RNAcentral's name for it is "partial 16S ribosomal RNA". It matches the Rfam family "Bacterial small subunit ribosomal RNA", at positions 524 to 776 of the family's 1533-position model. The record is from RNAcentral.
UACAGGGGGGGCAAGCGUUGUUCGGAAUUACUGGGCGUAAGGGCUCGUUGGUGGCCAACUAAGUCCGGCGUGAAAUCCCUCAGCUUAACUGGGGAACUGCGUCUGAUACUGGAUGGCUUGAGUUUGGGAGAGGGAUGCGGAAUUCCAGGUGUAGCGGUGAAAUGCGUAGAUAUCUGGAGGAACACCGGUGGCGAAGGCGGCAUCCUGGACCAACACUGACACUGAGGAGCGAAAGCCAGGGGAGCAAACGGG